GAAAAUGUUGAGUAUAAAGAGUGAAUAAUAGUAGAAGUAGAAGAAAAUGUAUAAGGAUUGGUGUUGAAAGUGAAGGGUAUUGAUAGGUAUUUUUUUUUUUAAAAUUUGAUUUUUUUUUUCAUAAUUUUAUUGCAAAAAAAAUGCCAGCCGUUGGAUUGGAGGAGAAGCAGAUCGGAGCACUAGGGGCGUGACACCUGUCUUCUACCCUUUGGAGCUUGCGCAGGGUUGACGUCAGCGCACGCGAGUUUAAAUUUUUUUUACCGUUGGCUAUAACGUCGAUGACGUUGCGCUGACGUCGCGCGUGACCUCAUCAACCCUCAGGCUCGAACUCGGGCUAAACUGGCCUGAGGGCCAGCCCGACUUCAUAGGUCCCACUCUCAACCUGGGCCUGGGCUCCUCGCUGGAACGUCAUUUUUUUUUCUCCCCCCAGCCUUGGGCUCAGCCCUUCGCUGGAGUUGCUCUUAAUGCGCAAUUGUAAAAAUUAGGGGUGGGCAUGGUCUGAUUCAGUCUGAUUCUUACUCCAAAUUGAAACUGGAAUUGGCACUAUUUUUCUGGUCUUAUUUGGUUUGAUUUUGAUGAAAAAUUAAUAAUUCCGGUGUGGUCUAGUUUGUCCAUAAGUCCUUUUUUUUUUUUUGUCGAAAUCAAGUUUCAUUGAAUGGAAGGUCAAAGCCAGAUUACAUCAAAAUGAACUCAAAUAAUUGAGUCACACAAAAUACAAUACAAACAGACAUAGAGCCUACUACAAAUAAAACUAACAAAGUGCAUAUAAAGGCAUAAAGCCCACAUAGAGGCCAAGAGCCUACGUAACGGCAAAAAGCCCACACAAGGCAAAAGCCCACAAAAUACAACACAACAUUUGGAAACCCUAACACUGUUAACAGGUAUGUGCCGCACAAUCCUACAACCACAAGCUGGGCCACCAUAGCAAGCCGACAACCACAAGCUGCUCCCAUAAG
This 956-nucleotide long non-coding RNA is filed under the name Prunus persica (peach). RNAcentral's name for it is "long non-coding RNA (PPER_LNC006843)". Lineage: Eukaryota; Viridiplantae; Streptophyta; Magnoliopsida; Rosales; Rosaceae. The record is from RNAcentral.